This 462-nucleotide ribosomal RNA is filed under the name uncultured Rhodospirillaceae bacterium. RNAcentral's name for it is "bacterial SSU rRNA". It matches the Rfam family "Bacterial small subunit ribosomal RNA", at positions 348 to 827 of the family's 1533-position model. Lineage: Bacteria; Pseudomonadati; Pseudomonadota; Alphaproteobacteria; Rhodospirillales; Rhodospirillaceae. The record is from RNAcentral.
GCAGCAGUGAGGAAUAUUGCGCAAUGGGGGCAACCCUGACGCAGCCAUGCCACGUGAGUGAAGAAGGCCUUCGGGUUGUAAAGCUCUUUCAGCUGUGAGGAUGAUGACAGUAGCAGCAGAAGAAGUCCCGGCUAACUUCGUGCCAGCAGCCGCGGUAAUACGAAGGGGGCAAGCGUUGUUCGGAAUUACUGGGCGUAAAGAGCGUGUAGGCGGUUCGUUAAGUCAGAGGUGAAAUCCCGGGGCUCAACCCCGGGGCUGCCUUUGAAACUGGCGGACUAGAGUCCGGGAGAGGAUGGCAGAAUUCCCAGUGUAGAGGUGAAAUUCGUAGAUAUUGGGAAGAAUACCGGUGGCGAAGGCGGCCAUCUGGUCCGGUACUGACGCUGAGACGCGAAAGCGUGGGGAGCAAACAGGAUUAGAUACCCUGGUAGUCCACGCCGUAAACGAUGUGUGCUAGUUGUCGGG